Molecule: ribosomal RNA, 2703 nt
Filed under: Colletotrichum graminicola
Lineage: Eukaryota; Fungi; Ascomycota; Sordariomycetes; Glomerellales; Glomerellaceae
Description: eukaryotic LSU rRNA
Rfam family: Eukaryotic large subunit ribosomal RNA (bases 318-2703)
Source: RNAcentral
ACUUUUAAUAACAGAUCUCUUAGUUUUAGUAUUAAUAAAGAAUAUAGCAAAAUAUAAUAAGUAAUAUAAAUUAUAGAAUUUAGUAAAUUAUUAAAUCUUUAAACGUAUAUUACGCCUACUAGUAUUCUAGUAGGUAUACCUAUUUAAGCGUUAUUUUAACCCUUAAGCUUUACUUAGUGUUAGGGCCUUAUAGCGUACGUUAUAGGCCCUUAAAGGUAGUAGCAGACCCUCUUAAAGCCUCCUUUAUAUAGUAACUAACGUCUUAUAUUAAGAUCUAGAGGGACUCUUACUAUAAAACCCCUAACUUUUUAACUAGUUAACCUUAGAUUAGGUAGGAAUACCUACUAAACUUAAGUAUAUUAAUAAGUAGAGGAAAAGAAACUAAUAGGGAUUACCUUAGUAACAGUAAGUAAAGUAGUAACAGCUUAAAUUUAAAAUCUAGCCUUAGGCCUAAGUUAUAAUUUAUAGAGGAUACUUUUAGUGUAGUGCCUUCUAAGUUCUUUAGAACAGGACGCUAUAGAGGGUAAAAGCCUUAUAUAGUUAGACACUAAGCCUUUAUAAAGCUUCUUUAAUAAGUUAAGUAGUUUAGGAAUACUACUUAAAAUAGGAGGUAUAUUUCUUCUAAAGCUAAAUAUUAGCUAGAGACUAAUAGUAUAUAAGUAAAGUAAUUAAAAGAUAAAAAGCACUUUAAAAAAAGGGUUAAAUAGUAUAUAAAAUUAUUAAAAGGGAAGCGCUUAUAACUAGACUUACGCCUAGUAAAUCACCUAGCUUUUAUAGCUAGGGCACUUUACUAGUAUAGGCUAGUAUUAGCUUACCGUUAGGGAUAAAAGCUUAGGGAACGUAGCUCUUUUUAGGGAGUGUUAUAGCCCCUUAUAUAAUACCCUUUAGUAGGCUAAAGUACACGUUUAUAAAGAUACUAGCGUAAUAGUUAUUAGUAACCUAUCUUAAAACAUAGACUAAGGAGUUAACUUUAUAUAUAAGUGUUUAAGUGUUAAACCCCUAUACGUAAUAAAAGUAAAUAUAGGUAAAAGCUUUAGCGUAUUAUUAACUAAUCCUAAUAUUCUUAAAUAGAUUUAAGUAAGAGUAUAUAGGGUUAGACCUAAAAGAAGGUAAACUAUAUAUAUAUAAAGUAAAGCUAGAGGAAACUCUAGUAAAGGCUUAUAGUAGUUCUAACGUAUAAAUUAAUUAUUAAAUAUAUAUAUAGGGGUAAAAGACUAAUUAAACCUUUUAGUAGCUAGUUUCUACUAAAGUUUCCUUUAGGAUAGUAGUGUUAAACUUAGUUUUAUAAGGUAAAGUAAAUAAUUAGGGACUUAAGGGCGCUAUAUAGCCUUUAUUUAUUCUUAAACUUUAAAUAUAUAAGAAGCCUUUAUUACUUAAUUAAAUAUAGGUAUUUAAAUAUAUUAACACUAGUAGGCUAUUUUUAGUAAGUAGAACUAGUAAUAUAAGAUAAACUAAACGUAAGGUUAAGGUGCUAAAGUAGUUACUUAUUAGACACUAUAAAAGGUGUUAGUAUAUCUUAAUAGUAAGAUAGUAGCUAUAGAAGUUAGAAUCUACUAAAGACUAUAUAAUAACUUACCUACUAAAUAUACUAGCCCUAAAAAUAGAUAGCGCUUAAGUAACUUACCUAUACCUUACCCUUAGUAUAGAAAUAAUACGCUAAGGAGUAGGCAGACGUAGAGGUUAGUAAUAAAGCCUAGGGCGUAAGCCUAGGUAGAACGGCCUUUAGUAUAGAUCUUAGUAGUAGUAGUAAAUACUUUAAUAAAAACUUAAAGGACUAAAGUAAGGAAAGGUUCUAUAUAAAUAGUAGUUAGAUAUAGGUUAGUUAAUCCUAAGCUAUAAGGAAGUUCUAUUUUAAAGGAGCACUUAUGCUUUAUAUAGUAAAAAGGAAGCUAGUUAAUAUUCUAGCACCUAGAUAUAGGUUUUACGUAGUAACGUAACUAAACGUAGAGAUAAUAGCAGGGGCCUUAGGCAGAGUUCUCUUUUCUUCUUAACAGUCUAUUACCUUAAAAUCAGUUUGUCUAGAGCUAGGGUUUAAUAGCUAGAAAAGCCUAGCACUUCUGUUAGGUCUAGUGCGCUCUUAACGUCCCUUAAAAAUCUAUAAGAAGGAAUAAUUCUUACGCUAGGUUAUACUUAUAACUAUAGUAGGUCUCUAAGGUAAACAGCCUCUAGUUAAUAGAAUAAUAUAGAUAAGGGAAGUUAGUAAAAUAGAUCUAUAACUUUAGGAUAAGGAUUAGCUUUAAGGGUUAGGUACGUUAGGCUUUAGGCAGAUAGCCUAGAAGUAGGUUACUACUAGCUAGGUAACUAGCUAGAGGCUUUUAGUAUUUAGGUUCUAACGCCUUUAGUAGGCUUUAGCUAUCUAGCGUAUAAUUAAUAACUAACUUAGAACUAGUAUAGAUAAGGGGAAUCUAACUGUCUAAUUAAAAUAUAGUAUUAUAAUAGCUAGAAAGUGGUGUUAACGUAAUAUAAUUUCUACCUAGUGCUUUAAAUAUUAAAGUAAAGUAAUUUAACUAAGUGUAAGUAAAUAGCAGGAGUAACUAUAACUCUCUUAAGGUAGCUAAAUACCUUAUUAUCUAAUUAGUAAUAUAUAUAAAUAGAUUAAUAAGAUUCCUACUGUCUUUAUUUACUAUCUAGUAAAACUAUAGCUAAGGGAACAGGCUUAGUAGAAUUAGUAAGGAAAGAAGACCUUAUUAAGCUUAACUUUAG